GAUGAACGCUGGCGGCGUGCCUAAUACAUGCAAGUCGAGCGAACAGAUAAGGAGCUUGCUCCUUUGACGUUAGCGGCGGACGGGUGAGUAACACGUGGGUAACCUACCUAUAAGACUGGAAUAACUCCGGGAAACCGGGGCUAAUGCCGGAUAACAUUUAGAACCGCAUGGUUCUAAAGUGAAAGAUGGUUUUGCGAUCACUUAUAGAUGGACCCGCGCCGUAUUAGCUAGUUGGUAAGGUAACGGCUUACCAAGGCAACGAUACGUAGCCGAACUGGGAGGGUGGUCGGCCACCCUGGAGCUGAGCCACCGUCCAGACUCCUACGGGAGGCCGCAGUAGGGAAUCUUCCGCAAUGGGCGAAAGCCUGACGGAGCAACGCCGCGUGAGUGAUGAAGGCCUUCGGAUCGUAAAACUCUGUUAUUAGGGAAGAACAAAUGUGUAAGUAACUGUGCACGUCUUGACGGUACCUAAUCAGAAAGCCCCGGCUAACUACGUG
Molecule: ribosomal RNA, 497 nt
Filed under: uncultured bacterium
Lineage: Bacteria
Description: partial 16S ribosomal RNA
Rfam family: Bacterial small subunit ribosomal RNA
Source: RNAcentral